This 207-nucleotide ribosomal RNA is filed under the name Dinophysis acuminata. RNAcentral describes it as "partial Bacterial small subunit ribosomal RNA". It matches the Rfam family "Bacterial small subunit ribosomal RNA", at positions 485 to 691 of the family's 1533-position model. Lineage: Eukaryota; Dinophyceae; Dinophysales; Dinophysaceae. The record is from RNAcentral.
AAGAAGCCCCGGCUAACUUCGUGCCAGCAGCCGCGGUAAUACGAAGGGGGCUAGCGUUGCUCGGAAUUACUGGGCGUAAAGGGCGCGUAGGCGGACAUUUAAGUCAGGGGUGAAAUCCCAGAGCUCAACUCUGGAACUGCCUUUGAUACUGGGUGUCUUGAGUGUGAGAGAGGUAUGUGGAACUCCGAGUGUAGAGGUGAAAUUCGU